Molecule: ribosomal RNA, 775 nt
Filed under: uncultured Neocallimastigales
Lineage: Eukaryota; Fungi; Neocallimastigomycota; Neocallimastigomycetes; Neocallimastigales
Description: partial large subunit ribosomal RNA
Rfam family: Eukaryotic large subunit ribosomal RNA
Source: RNAcentral
UACGACUACAUAUCAGGCAUAUCAAUAAGCGGAGGAAAAGAAACUAACAAGGAUUCCCCUAGUAACGGCGAGUGAAGCGGGAAGAGCUCAAAUUUGAAAUCUUAAAGGGUUUCCCUUUACGAAUUGUAGUUUAAAGAAGUGUUUUCUGUUGGAGUUUCGGUAAAAGUUCUUUGGAAUAGGACAUCAUAGAGGGUGAGAAUCCCGUAUUUGACCGUUACUUUCCAGCUGUGUGAUACACUUUCAAAGAGUCGGAUUGUUUGGGAAUGCAGUCCAAGAUGGGUGGUAAAUUUCAUCUAAAGCUAAAUAUUGGCGAGAGACCGAUAGCGAACAAGUACCGUGAGGGAAAGAUGAAAAGAACUUUGAAAAGAGAGUUAAACAGUACGUGAAAUUGUCAAAAGGGAAGCGUUUGACACCAGUGUUGUUUAGUUGAAAAUCAAUUCAAUAGUUUUUGAUUCUAAGUAGUAUUGACUUCAUCAGCUUGCUGCUUUCUUCUCAGAAAUUAUUGAAUGCACUUUUCAGUUAACAAGUCAACAUCAAUUUCUUUUGUUGUAAAAGGGUAAGAGGAAGGUGGCUUGCGCUUCGGCUCAAGUGUUUAUAGCCUUUUAUCUCUGCAAUCGGAGAGAUUGAGGUCUGCAGCGUAGAUCCUUCGGGGUUAGAUACAUUGGUGCUAAGCUAUAGCCUUGUAUAGACAACUUGUUGACUAUGCUCAGUCAUGUAGCUUACUCGCUGAUGCUAUUUUACCUACGCUUAGGAUGUUGAUCUACAGAGCGAGAGU